UAAAAAAUAAGCUAAACUAAGCUAAUGAACUCAUACUUCACUUAUAAGGACACUCCUUUUUUUUAU
RNAcentral lists this transfer RNA (66 nucleotides) under Parapsyche difformis. RNAcentral's name for it is "tRNA-Met". The record is from RNAcentral. Lineage: Eukaryota; Metazoa; Arthropoda; Insecta; Trichoptera; Hydropsychidae.